This 497-nucleotide ribosomal RNA is filed under the name uncultured bacterium. RNAcentral describes it as "partial 16S ribosomal RNA". It matches the Rfam family "Bacterial small subunit ribosomal RNA", at positions 28 to 507 of the family's 1533-position model. The record is from RNAcentral.
GACGAACGCUGGCGGCGUGCCUAAUACAUGCAAGUUGAGCGCUGAAGGUUGGUACUUGUACCAACUGGAUGAGCAGCGCACGGGUGAGUAACGCGUGGGGAAUCUGCCUUUGAGCGGGGGACAACAUUUGGAAACGAAUGCUAAUACCGCAUAAAAACUUUAAACACAAUUUUUAAGUUUGAAAGAUGCAAUUGCAUCACUCAAAGAUGAUCCCGCGUUGUAUUAGCUAGUUGGUGAGGUAAAGGCUCACCAAGGCGAUGAUACAUAGCCGACCUGAGAGGGUGAGCGGCCACAUUGGGACGGAGACACGGCCCAAACGCCUACGGGAGGCAGCAGUAGGGAAUCUUCGGCAAUGGACGAAAGUCUGACCGAGCAACGCCGCGUGAGUGAAGAAGGUUGUCGGAUCGUAAAACUCGGUUGGUAGAGAAGAACGUGGGUGAGAGUGGAAAGCUCAUCAAGUGACGGUAACUACCCAGAAAGGGACGGCUAACUACGUG